CCUACGGGAGGCAGCAGUGAGGAAUAUUGGUCAAUGGCCGAGAGGCUGAACCAGCCAAGUCGCGUGAGGGAAGACGGCCCUACGGGUUGUAAACUUCUUUUAUAAAGGAAUAAAACGAGGCACGUGUGCCUUUUUGCAUGUACUUUAUGAAUAAGGAUCGGCUAACUCCGUGCCAGCAGCCGCGGUAAUACGGAGGAUCCGAGCGUUAUCCGGAUUUAUUGGGUUUAAAGGGAGCGUAGAUGGGUUGUUAAGUCAGUUGUGAAAGUUUGCGGCUCAACCGUAAAAUUGCAAUUGAUACUGGCAGUCUUGAGUACAGUUGAGGUAGGCGGAAUUCGUGGUGUAGCGGUGAAAUGCUUAGAUAUCACGAAGAACUCCGAUUGCGAAGGCAGCUUACUAAACUGCCACUGACAUUGAUGCUCGAAAGUGUGGGUAUCAAACAGGAUUAGAUACCCGAGUAGUC
Molecule: ribosomal RNA, 460 nt
Filed under: uncultured bacterium
Lineage: Bacteria
Description: partial 16S ribosomal RNA
Rfam family: Bacterial small subunit ribosomal RNA
Source: RNAcentral